UACGAAGGGUGCAAACGUUGCUCGGAAUUAUUGGGCGUAAAGCGCACGUAGGCGGCUUGGCAAGUCGGAUGUGAAAUCCCUCGGCUCAACCAAGGAAGUGCAUCCGAAACUGCUGAGCUUGAGUACUUAAGAGGAUCGCGGAAUUCCCGGUGUAGAGGUGAAAUUCGUAGAUAUCGGGAGGAACACCAGUGGCGAAGGCGGCUUACUGGACAGGUCCUGACACUGAGACGCGAAAGCGUGGGUAGCAAACAGG
Molecule: ribosomal RNA, 253 nt
Filed under: uncultured bacterium
Lineage: Bacteria
Description: partial 16S ribosomal RNA
Rfam family: Bacterial small subunit ribosomal RNA
Source: RNAcentral